UACGUAGGGGGCGAGCGUUGUCCGGAUUUAUUGGGCGUAAAGAGCGUGUAGGCGGUUCGGUAAGUCUGUUGUGAAAUCCUGAGGCUCAACCUCGGACGUGCGAUGGAUACUGCCGGGCUAGAGGAUGGUAGAGGCGAGUGGAAUUCCCGGUGUAGCGGUGAAAUGCGCAGAUAUCGGGAGGAACACCAGUGGCGAAGGCGGCUCACUGGCCCGGUACUGACGCUGAGGUGCGAAAGCGUGGGGAGCAAACAGG
RNAcentral lists this ribosomal RNA (253 nucleotides) under uncultured bacterium. Its description in RNAcentral is "partial 16S ribosomal RNA". It matches the Rfam family "Bacterial small subunit ribosomal RNA", at positions 524 to 776 of the family's 1533-position model. The record is from RNAcentral.